Molecule: ribosomal RNA, 400 nt
Filed under: uncultured bacterium
Lineage: Bacteria
Description: bacterial SSU rRNA
Rfam family: Bacterial small subunit ribosomal RNA
Source: RNAcentral
UCGAGAAUCAUUCACAAUGGGCGAAAGCCUGAUGGUGUGACGCCGCGUGGAGGAUGAAGGUCUUCGGAUUGUAAACUCCUGUCAAGUGAGAGUAAAGCCGGGCGUUAACUGCGUGCCGGUUUGAGAGUAUCACUAGAGGAAGAGACGGCUAACUCUGUGCCAGCAGCCGCGGUAAUACAGAGGUCUCAAGCGUUGUUCGGAAUCACUGGGCGUAAAGGGUGCGUAGGCUGCAUGGUAAGUCAGAGGUGAAAUCCCGGAGCUCAACUUCGGAAUUGCCUCCGAUACUGCCGUGCUUGAGGACUGGAGAGGAGUCUGGAAUUCACAGUGGAGCAGUGAAAUGCGUAGAUAUUGUGAGGAACACUAGUGGCGAAGGCGAGACUCUGGACAGUUCCUGACGCUG